Molecule: ribosomal RNA, 266 nt
Filed under: uncultured Staphylococcus sp.
Lineage: Bacteria; Bacillati; Bacillota; Bacilli; Caryophanales; Staphylococcaceae
Description: partial 16S ribosomal RNA
Rfam family: Bacterial small subunit ribosomal RNA
Source: RNAcentral
CGGCGGACGGGUGAGUAACACGUGGGUAACCUACCUAUAAGACUGGGACAACUUCGGGAAACCGGAGCUAAUACCGGAUAAGAUAUCGAACCGCAUGGUUCGAUAGUGAAAGAUGGUUUUGCUAUCACUUAUAGAUGGACCCGCGCCGUAUUAGCUAGUUGGUGAGGUAACGGCUCACCAAGGCAACGAUACGUAGCCGACCUGAGAGGGUGAUCGGCCACACUGUAACUGAGACACGGUCCAGACUCCUACGGGAGGCAGCAGCC